This 70-nucleotide transfer RNA is filed under the name Thiotrichaceae bacterium. Its description in RNAcentral is "tRNA-Gly". It matches the Rfam family "tRNA". From Rfam's summary of the family: Transfer RNA (tRNA) molecules are approximately 80 nucleotides in length. Their secondary structure includes four short double-helical elements and three loops (D, anti-codon, and T loops). The record is from RNAcentral. Lineage: Bacteria; Pseudomonadati; Pseudomonadota; Gammaproteobacteria; Thiotrichales; Thiotrichaceae.
CGGGAAUAGCUCAGCUGGUAGAGCACGACCUUGCCAAGGUCGGGGUCGCGAGUUCGAAUCUCGUUUCCCG